CGUCUAUAUACGUAUAGCAUAUCAAUAAGCGGAGGAAAAGAAACUAACAAGGAUUCCCUUAGUAACGGCGAGUGAAGCGGGAAGAGCUCAAAUUUGAAAUCUUCAAGGUUCUACCUUGACGAAUUGUAGUUUAUAGAAGUGUUUUCUGUUAGUAGAGUGGCAAAAGUUCUUUGGAAUAGGACAUCAUAGAGGGUGAGAAUCCCGUAUUUGGUCAUUCUUUCUAGCUUUGUGAUACACUUCCAACGAGUCGGAUUGUUUGGGAAUGCAGUCCAAAAUGGGUGGUAAAUUUCAUCUAAAGCUAAAUACUGGCGAGAGACCGAUAGCGAACAAGUACCGUGAGGGAAAGAUGAAAAGAACUUUGAAAAGAGAGUUAAACAGUACGUGAAAUUGUCAAAAGGGAAGCGUUUGACACCAGUGUUGUUUUCUCGAAAAUCAAUUAAAAAUGGAUGGCAUGCUAGUGUAGUAUUGACUUCAUCAGCUUCUGCACUUAUUUUUGGUAUCUUUUUUAAUGCACUUUUCGUUUAACAAGUCAACAUCAAUUUCUUUUGUUGUAAAAGAGUCAUUGGAAGGUGGCUUUCAUUUCGGAUGAAAGUGUUAUAUAGCCUUUUACCUUCUGCAAUCGGAGAGAUUGAGGUCAUGCAGCGUAGACUCCUUCUGGGGUUAGAUACACUUGUGCUAAGUUAUAGCUUUGUCAUAGACAACAUGUUGACUAUGAUUAAGUCAUGUAGCUUACUCGCUUAUGCUAUUUUACCUACGCUUAGGAUGUUGACACACGCGCGUGCUCG
This 785-nucleotide ribosomal RNA is filed under the name uncultured Neocallimastigales. RNAcentral describes it as "partial large subunit ribosomal RNA". It matches the Rfam family "Eukaryotic large subunit ribosomal RNA", at positions 26 to 656 of the family's 3401-position model. Lineage: Eukaryota; Fungi; Neocallimastigomycota; Neocallimastigomycetes; Neocallimastigales. The record is from RNAcentral.